RNAcentral lists this ribosomal RNA (253 nucleotides) under uncultured bacterium. RNAcentral's name for it is "partial 16S ribosomal RNA". It matches the Rfam family "Bacterial small subunit ribosomal RNA", at positions 524 to 776 of the family's 1533-position model. The record is from RNAcentral.
UACGAAGGGUGCAAGCGUUACUCGGAAUUACUGGGCGUAAAGCGUGCGUAGGUGGUUCGUUAAGUCUGAUGUGGAAGCCCUGGGCUCAACCUGGGAAUGGCAUUGGAAACUGGCGACCUAGAGUGCGGUAGAGGGCAGUGGAAUUCCCGGUGUAGCAGUGAAAUGCGUAGAGAUCGGGAGGAACAUCUGUGGCGAAGGCGACUGCCUGGACCAGCACUGACACUGAGGCACGAAAGCGCGGGGAGCAAACAGG